CUUUAUGCCGCUGGACUUGGGCCUCUCUUUCUCUCACAAGACCAGCGCCCUUUUGUGACGCUCAGUGUUCAAAGUCGAUUUACCUGCAACUCUCAGUCUCGGCGACCUCUUGUUGCCAUCUUCAUUCAGCCAACACUCUGACAGACACCAAAUAGGCAUCUCCCGUGCCUCUGUCUUGAUGUUAUCUUGGGAUGCUGUCUAUUUAUCCAGUAGUUGCGCCUUGCUUAUUUACGACCUCAAGGCGAAUUGUUAGGAUGGCUGCAACGGCCAGAAAUCCGAGCAAAUCGUUUGAAUCCAUCGCUUUAAAGCCUCCUUUGCACCCUACCUAUGAUCUCAAGGGAAUCAUCAAAUUAGCCCUUGCUGAAGAUGCUGGGGGUCAAGGUGAUGUUACAAGCAUGGCCACCAUUCCUAUUGACAUGGAAGUGGAAGCUAAUUUCUUGGCAAAGGAAGAUGGUAUCAUAGCCGGAAUUGCACUUGCAGAGAUGGUAUUUGAAGAGGUUGAUCCUUCUCUGAAGGUGGAUUGGUCUCAAAAAGAUGGAGAUAAUGUUCAUAAAGGACUACAGUUUGGAAAAGUUUAUGGACGGGCACACAACAUCGUUGUAGCUGAAAGGGUAGUGCUAAACUUUAUGCAGAGGAUGAGUGGAAUAGCAACUCUAACAAAGGAAAUGGCAGAUGCUGCAUAUCCUGCGUGUAUUUUAGAGACGAGGAAAACUUCUCCGGGUUUACGUUUGGUGGAUAAGUGGGCGGUACUUAUUGGUGGAGGGCGGAACCAUAGAAUGGGUUUAUUUGAUAUGGUCUUGAUAAAAGAUAAUCACAUAUCCAUAGCUGGAGGUGUCACGAGUGCCAUUAAAUCUGUUGACAUGUAUUUGGAGCAAAAGAAACUUCAAAUGGAGGUUGAGGUUGAAACCAGGACACUCGAGGAAGUACACGAGGUAUUACGUUACGCAUCUCAAACAAAGACGUCCUUGACUCGGAUAAUGUUGGAUAACAUGGUUGUGCCACUACAAAAUGGAGAUGUAGACGUAUCUAUGCUUAAAGAAGCUGUGGAUGUGAUUAAUGGGAGAUUUGAGACUGAGGCAUCAGGCAAUGUUACUCUUGAAACGAUACACAAAAUUGGACAGACUGGAGUGACCUACAUUUCCAGUGGUGCACUAACACAUUCUGUAAAAGCACUUGACAUCUCCCUCAAGAUUGAUACAGAGUUGGCCCUUCUAGUUGGAAGGCGAACGAAACGAGCAUGACUGUCCAUCUGAUCACAUUUUUUCCUCUCGUUGAUGCAACCAAUCAACUGCUGUAAAUAGUAAUGGGUGCAUGCCGGCCGGGGCUUGUCUGAGCUCUCUCCAGAUCCAAAGACCUCUACCGUCAGUAAAAUGGGAGAGGUGCUAAUCAGCUACAAGGGAUGGACCGUAUGGAUGUACCUCAAUCAAUUUUUAUGCCUGACAGAUUUGACAAAAUUGAUGGAAAAUAUAUUUUAGUAUAAUGUUUAUAACA
Molecule: RNA transcript, 1491 nt
Organism: Alnus glutinosa
Lineage: Eukaryota; Viridiplantae; Streptophyta; Magnoliopsida; Fagales; Betulaceae
Gene name: quinolinate phosphoribosyltransferase [decarboxylating] 1a
Exons: 12
Source: RefSeq, a predicted model, not a curated record